AAUAGAUACCCGGGUAGUCCACGCCGUAAACGAUGAGUGCUAAGUGUUAGGGGGUUUCCGCCCCUUAGUGCUGCAGCUAACGCAUUAAGCACUCCGCCUGGGGAGUACGGUCGCAAGACUGAAACUCAAAGGAAUUGACGGGGGCCCGCACAAGCGGUGGAGCAUGUGGUUUAAUUCGAAGCAACGCGAAGAACCUUACCAGGUCUUGACAUCCCACUGACCGCUAUGGAGACAUAGUUUUCCCUUCGGGGACAGUGGUGACAGGUGGUGCAUGGUUGUCGUCAGCUCGUGUCGUGAGAUGUUGGGUUAAGUCCCGCAACGAGCGCAACCCUUGAUCUUAGUUGCCAUCAUUUAGUUGGGCACUCUAAGGUGACUGCCGGUGACAAACCGGAGGAAGGUGGGGAUGACGUCAAAUCAUCAUGCCCCUUAUGGCCUGGGCUACACACGUGCUACAAUGGACGGUACAAACGGUUGCCAACCCGGCGAGGGGGAGCUAAUCCGGAUAAAACCCGUUCUCAGUUCGGAUUGUAGGCUGCAACUCGCCUAC
RNAcentral lists this ribosomal RNA (547 nucleotides) under uncultured bacterium. RNAcentral describes it as "bacterial SSU rRNA". It matches the Rfam family "Bacterial small subunit ribosomal RNA", at positions 777 to 1319 of the family's 1533-position model. The record is from RNAcentral.